Molecule: long non-coding RNA, 806 nt
Organism: Vidua macroura (Pin-tailed whydah)
Lineage: Eukaryota; Metazoa; Chordata; Aves; Passeriformes; Viduidae
Exons: 3
Source: RefSeq, a predicted model, not a curated record
UUGGGCCAUUGCAAGGGGCUGCUUUCCUUAUUUUUUGUAUAUUUGCAUUAAAGAAGAAAGUAUCCCUUCAGGAAUGAACUACUCCAGACAAUCAUUGCAAGGCAAUGAAUCACCAUCACUAGCAGUCCAUGAUCUAUAAUCAGUCUGCAGAAAAUCUUUUCAGGCUUCAUAGUGCAAUGCCAGUUGCCCAAAAAUGUGACAGGUACCACAUUGCCCUUCACCUUGGUGAGCUGAAGGGAUGGACCAGCUGAGAAAGGUCCACAGGCAGCAUUUGAAAUACUCGUUUCAAUUAAAGAUAAAAAAAUAUUAAGGUAGAUCCUGGAUAUCUACUAAGUUUUCUAUGCUGAGUAUUGCUUUGGUGGAAGUGCAAAAUGUUUUGCUGGAAAUGCACAAUGACAAAAUCCUGAAGAAAGUGGUGAGUGUCACAGCACAAAAGAACAUUUGGAAGGGUGGAAUAUGAGAUAAUCUUGCUUGAGGAGAGGUAGCAGGAGGUAGUUUCAGUGGUGUGGAGUGUGUAGGUGAAUGCCAGGAAAGGAUUUCCACACAGUCUUUGAGAAGAGAAAAUGAUCAAAGGAACUUAACAUUACUGACUACUGACUUCAAUUCUGGUUCUACACAAAGACAUUUUCUGGUUUCAGUUUUUAUUUUGCCGUGCUCUACCUUUACCUAAUAUUUGAGUCUUUGGUAAGAGUACGCAGACUAAAUUUUCACUGGAUGCAUGAACCUGGACUUUGGCAGCAUGUCAGGUUUAAUGGGAUCCCUGUCUGCAAAUCCAGCCUCAGCAACUGGUCACAAGUCACAGGAUU